Molecule: small RNA, 98 nt
Filed under: Saccharolobus islandicus HVE10/4
Lineage: Archaea; Thermoproteati; Thermoproteota; Thermoprotei; Sulfolobales; Sulfolobaceae
Description: Sulfolobus islandicus HVE10/4 non-coding RNA
Source: RNAcentral
CUAACAGCCGAGCUUUGAGCCCAAGAGGCGUAACGGCCUCACACAGUCAGAUCUGUAUUACUCAGAUCUGAGUAAUAUGUUUUAUAUAAGAGGCAUAG